GUCGCCAUUGCCUUUUCCGGUCUCGUUGUGAGCACGUGCGCUAAUCAUCUCCUCGGUUCUUUCCAUUCGAUUCGACGCAAUAGACGACCGAAGCCAGCUUCUGCCAGCUCCCAUCAAUCAUAAAACGAAAAAUAAAGAAGACGCAAACGACUGAUAUAAAUCAAAGAAUACCAUGGCUGCUAGAUCAAUUCCUUUCCCGGCUCAAAAUCCAACGUAUACAGAGCUCCUCACGGUGAUUGGAAUCCAUUUUUUUGAUGAAUAUCGCACAAAAUACAGCCUGCCAAUGAGCACAAUCGAUGAUAUAAUUGCAAAAACAUGGAGAAGACAGCUAAAAUCGUCGGAGCGUUUAGCGGUCUUCAGUUUCCUCCGGCAUCAUGGGGAAGAAAAUAUACUCAACAUUGAAAUUUAUGAAACCAAGAAAUAAGAUCGAGGAGAAAGUUGAAAACAAAUCGGGCGGACAAGCGGAAAAAGCCCGAAAAAAAAUGAAAAAAAAAGUGCAAAAAAAUUGGAAUUAUUUGUCAUCGUCAACAAAAUUCAUUCAAGAGGAUCACAUUUCAACUGCAGUCUUCAUUCCAAGUCGGUGAACUUGUUCCGGCAAGGAUCAGGAAUCGCCUACGUCUUCAAAAUUUUAAUAUGAAAUUUAUGAAUAAGGUGACAACCAGUGGAAACCUCGCUACGCCCAGUUCAGCGAAAAUUUUUUCCUCCCCAAAAUCGGGGGGGCUAACUCAGUGGAGGUCCGGAGUAUCGCUGUCCGUUCAUGCAUUGAAGGUGCUGCGCAUUGAGGAGCACCGGCCGCCGCUACUGCCGGUCGCGGUGUUACCGACGGCGCUGCGAUGAGUCCCGGUGGAGCAGCGGCGGUGCGGGACGGUGGGCGAGGGGUCUCGCCCGCGCGUGUUAGUGGUGGCACGCGCGAGCCCGGGGGGGCCGACUGCGUGGCUUGGCCCCUUCUCUCCCACCGGGGGAGGCAACCGCCGGCGUGUUUCGCGAAGGCGUCCCCCUGGACGUAAACGCUGCACAGGGAGCAGGCCACCUUGCCCUUCCUCCGAGAUACCCGGGCGACGCUUGUUUCUAAGCACGCGGCCACCCCUGGGCACCCGCGAAGUUUCCCGCACACCGGGCAUUUUGUCGAUGACGGAGGGCUGGUACGGCCGAUCGGCGUGACCCUCGUUCCUUCCAGCCGCAUCUCCACGCCGGGAGAUAACCGCCGGGCUGGCGUUCCUGCGUGCGGAGGGCCCGUUGUCGCCGAUUCGGGUGUUGUCGUAGGCCGGUUCGUUAUUAUUAGUUGCCGCGCCGCGGGGAUUGCGUCCACCACCGCAGCGGCAUCCUCGUACUCCUUGUCCUGGGAGGUCCCUGCGUGCUUUCGCACCUCAGGCCGAUGUUUGGCCUCCAGGAAGACGAAUAGGCGGAAUUUGCGGAAACAGCCGAAGAGAUGGCCAUCGUCACCUGCUGCGUCGCACAGGGGACACCACUCUGGUAGUCCAUCGUGGAAUCGUUGGCGACGGAACGCAUGGAGGCACAAAAACAAGUCGCGGCACUGCUCUAUUGAAAUAGAGCAUACUGGGCACUCGCGACGGCGUACAUAUCGCUUGACGAUUGCUUGCAUAUUUUUAGAUUUUUUUUUUGUUUUCGCACGACACGGAACAGCACCACACUACACUUUCACUAAUGUAUUUUCCAAGUAAAUUUUCUAGUUCUAAGUAAAUAAAUCGAAAAAAGAAAGGGAAGAACUUUGUGGCACAUAAUAGUCAAAUUGCUUAAAAUUUCGGUCACAACAGGCAUAUCGGAAUAAUUUGUCAGGGGAAAAAAAAUUUUCUGUGUUUGAGGUAAAAGGCAUAACAAUACUGGCAAUGCUGGUAUAUAAUUUUAUAGAGAUGACCAGUGCUGAUGUUAUGCAUCUCGCAUACUAAAGAGUAGCAAAAAAAUUACUGAAACUGUGGUUCAUGCCGGAAUUUUACAGUGAGCCCUUCUCGCUAAUUCGUUUCAAACUAUUAGUGGAUCAAGCUCCUAUAAAUAUAUCCCCACCAUCGUGCGUCAUUAGAUUACACCGAAAAAUCACAAACAUGGCAGUUUGGAAAGCAACAGAAUUGAAGAAUUGGCUGCUGUACUAUUCCAUUCCCAAUUUGUCGGACAUUAUGGGAGAGGGAUAUUUUCAAUACCAUAAAUUACUCGUGCUGGGAAUAUACCUCCUCAAUCAAUCAAGUAUUAGCGAAGAAAUGAUAAGAAGAGCUCGAAAUUCACUGCACGAUUACGUUUCUCUCAGUUCCAAACGUUGUACGGAGAGAUAUAUAUGUCCAUAAAUGUGCAUCUUUUGUUACACCUUCCUGAAGUUGUGACCCGGCUUGGACCUCUUUGAGCAACAUCCUGUUUCCCAUUUGAAAACCUAAACGGAGUCAUGAAAAAGUUCGUCCAUGGUACACGAUACGCUGAUCUCCAAAUUUGUUCAUUCUUGUCCUUAUUCAUGGGUGUUAAAAAUUUUUUAAAUCAAAUCCUCACUCCAGAAAUAAAAACAUCAAAGUUUUGUGAACCGUUGGACCUCAAAAGAAAAUUCAAGAAUAAAUCUAUACGUAUCUCAUCGAGCACGAGUAUAAUCAGUCGAAUCCUGAAUCCUGAAAAUGAACAUGGUCAAAAACUUGAACAUUCCCGGCUUUGUCCAUACGUAACAUGUCAGAAUAACGAUGUACAAACUUUAUAAACUUUCCCAAAACGGCAAAAUUUUUUGUAGUCAACAAAAUACUAUGACCAUGAGAACCAAUUCUUCUUGCAUCAAAUAUAAAUAGAAUGAGUCUGAGAUGGAUAUUGGGAUAAUCCAUUAUUUUUUUAGAGUCACGGAUUGUAAUUGGAAUCAUCUAUGUGUUGGCUACAAUGCUAAUUAUCGAGUAUAUGCAGUCAUAUCGGAAUGCGAAAAAUUGAAUACAUUUUCUGACGAUCGGCGAAGUUUAGAAUUCAUUUUCGAGUGCAAAACAUUGAAAGAAGAAAAAGUAUUUGCUAUAGAGAUUUCGCAAUUGAAAGAAAUUUUUUUUUACAAUUAAAAUAAACGAUACGGAGAAAAUGUUUGCAGCGGAACCUGUUAACUAUAUUGAAAAUAUAUAAAGAAUUUAUGAUCAUUUCUGAGAUAAAAAAUUAUUAUUUUUUAAAUAUUUAUAUACCCACGGAUUAAAUAUCUCACGGUUUUUGUAGAAAAUAUUGAACUCAAUGUUUAUUUUUAUACUGUAACGACAGGGCAAGUAUCGGAAUUUUUUUUUUUUUUUUAUUUUUAUUUUUAGGGGCUUCGAGCUCCAUCUUGCACGUGCCCAUGCUGCCCCGUUGCAAGUAUCGGAAUCUCAAACAGCACCACGGGUGCCAUCUACCGGCAAACCUGUGAAAGCAAAUAAACAUUGUUAAUAAUAAUAAUUAUAUCAACAAAUUAUUUAGUUCCCAAGUCAACAAAUAAAGGGAGAAUUAAAAAAAAUCUUGUUCACAAGUGGAGCAAGCGGCAAGGGGAAAUAUAAGCAACAGCGUAAAACAGCAAGGAACUCUUCUUGUCCCUCUGACAAGUAUUUAUACCUUUCCAAGCCAGGGUGAAACCCAAGGUGGAAAGAAAAGUCAGACUUUGUCACGCUCAAGCACGACGGUCUAGGAUUACUCCAAGACUGAGCGAGAAGCUUUUGUGAAUAGGCUUAGUCUGGUGAUUUCUGACCACGGAACACCCAGCGUUGGAAAAUCAGAGUCAAUCUAGUACGAGUACGAUUGUCUCAGAUCUCUCUGAGAUAGAGCGAAGAAACUCGUGCAAGCAGACUGAAUCUGAUUGUCUUACCCGAUUAACCAGCACUUGAUUUGUAAAUAGCGAAGGGUGAUACUUACAAAAUAUGUGCCUCCGCUUUUUAAUCUAUCGCUUCAGGAUUUCCUUACAUUGAUGGCUGCAAUCCCAGGAAAACCUGCCAGGGGAUUUCAGAAAGAAUUAAUAAAUAGAAUCAUAAGUUAUAACUAGAUUAAAUAACGCUGCCCCGCGCCUGGCUCAAAAGUAGGGAACGGAGCAGUGUUACAUAACCUCAAAGAAAACUUGAGAAUUCGGAAGACAAUUUGAAGGAAAAUUCUGAAUGGUCGCUCAAACAGAAUUUAAAUGAAGGACCUCCUGGACCGACAGAUACGGAGAUUUUAUAGGAAAUGCGGGGAUGGGGGAGCGCGUUUUCAUUCGUUUUCAUCAUCACACACAUUCUCCAUGUCUGGAUUGUUAUCAUCAUCGUCCGAGAUAUCGACAAUCAUAAGAUUAUUUCUUUGAACACUAGGAUCACAUUCGCCAUUAUUCGCGAGAUCAAUCACUUCGACAUCAUCGUCGGAAAUGUUACUUUCAUCACGAUAGCCAUUGUUCCUGAGAUCAAUAAUUUCGACAUCGUCAUCGGAUAUGUCGACAACCAUUAUUUCACUUUCUUUAUUACUACAAUAACUAUCAUCGUCGUUCACGAGAUCGAAGAUCUCCACUUCACUUUUACAUAAGUUGAAACUUUGAGACAUUUUUACGUUUUUGGCGAAAAGAUAAAUUUGACACGAACGCGACUGGCAAUGUCACCGAUACUUUUUCGAGGAGUGAUUUUUGACGUAACGAAACAAAACUUUGAUGAGUCAGUAGAGACGUAGAGAGCAGAGUGAUUUUGAAGGAGCGGAAGUUUUUUUCAACCAUUCCAAACUAUCCAUGAAGUUCAUAAUCAAAUUUAUGACAUUCGAAGUAUGUCGAAUAUCCAUCAUGGUGUAACUAACUGAGAUUUACUGACACUGAAAAAAAUGUGUUUCGAAAACUUUCUACGGAGAUGCCCACCCACGCAACUCUUCUCAAACCAGAUUUAUC
Molecule: RNA transcript, 4822 nt
Organism: Venturia canescens
Lineage: Eukaryota; Metazoa; Arthropoda; Insecta; Hymenoptera; Ichneumonidae
Gene name: putative nuclease HARBI1
Exons: 6
Source: RefSeq, a predicted model, not a curated record